Molecule: ribosomal RNA, 362 nt
Filed under: Skeletonema marinoi
Lineage: Eukaryota; Bacillariophyta; Thalassiosirophyceae; Thalassiosirales; Thalassiosiraceae
Description: partial Bacterial small subunit ribosomal RNA
Rfam family: Bacterial small subunit ribosomal RNA
Source: RNAcentral
GUUUGAUCAUGGCUCAGAUUGAACGCUGGCGGUAGGCUUAACACAUGCAAGUCGAGCGGAAACGAUCUAGCUUGCUAGAGGCGUCGAGCGGCGGACGGGUGAGUAACGCGUAGGAAUCUACCCAGUAGUUGGGGAUAGCCCGGAGAAAUCCGGAUUAAUACCGAAUAAUCUCUACGGAGGAAAGUGGGCUUCGGCUCACGCUACAGGAUGAGCCUGCGUUGGAUUAGCUAGUUGGUGAGGUAAGAGCUCACCAAGGCGACGAUCCAUAGCUGGUCUGAGAGGAUGAUCAGCCACACUGGGACUGAGACACGGCCCAGACUCCUACGGGAGGCAGCAGUGGGAAUAUUGGACAAUGGGGGCAA